This 514-nucleotide ribosomal RNA is filed under the name Stomatolepas elegans. RNAcentral describes it as "partial 16S ribosomal RNA". It matches the Rfam family "Bacterial large subunit ribosomal RNA", at positions 1833 to 2607 of the family's 2925-position model. Lineage: Eukaryota; Metazoa; Arthropoda; Thecostraca; Balanomorpha; Coronulidae. The record is from RNAcentral.
UUCCUCUAGUUUUUUGGAGGUAAAGCCUGCUCACUGAAUUUUAAAGAGCCGCAGUAUUCUGACUGUGCUAAGGUAGCAUAAUCAUUAGUCUUUUAAAUGGAGACUGGUAUGAAUGGUUUAACGAGAAAUCAGCUUUUUUUAUCAUAGACAUUGAAUCUAACUUCUCAGUGAAAAGGCUGAGAUGUAUCAAAAAGACGAGAAGACCCUAUAGAGUUUUAUAACCUUUCAUUACAAACCAAAAUUAGAUUUUUUUCAGGUUUAUAGUAAAAGAUUGUUUGGUUGGGGCGACAUUUAGAUAAAAAAAACUCUUUUUUAUGAAUAUUUUAUUAAAAAUAAAAACUGAUCCUUUAAAAAAGAUUAAAAGAAAAAAUUACCUUAGGGAUAACAGCGUAAUCUUUUUCGAGAGUUCUAAUCGACAAAAAGGUUUGCGACCUCGAUGUUGGACUAAAAUUAUGGCAGGGUGCAGCAGUUCUGCUUUUAGGUCUGUUCGACCUAUAAAAUUUUACAUGAUCUG